Molecule: ribosomal RNA, 1288 nt
Filed under: Cryphonectria macrospora
Lineage: Eukaryota; Fungi; Ascomycota; Sordariomycetes; Diaporthales; Cryphonectriaceae
Description: eukaryotic LSU rRNA
Rfam family: Eukaryotic large subunit ribosomal RNA
Source: RNAcentral
CAGGGAUUGCCCUAGUAACGGCGAGUGAAGCGGCAACAGCUCAAAUUUGAAAUCUGGCUUCGGCCCGAGUUGUAAUUUGCAGAGGAUGUUUCUGGCGCGGUGCCUUCCGAGUUCCCUGGAACGGGACGCCACAGAGGGUGAGAGCCCCGUAUGGUUGGACACCAAGCCUGUGUGAAACUCCUUCGACGAGUCGAGUAGUUUGGGAAUGCUGCUCAAAAUGGGAGGUAAAUCUCUUCUAAAGCUAAAUACCGGCCAGAGACCGAUAGCGCACAAGUAGAGUGAUCGAAAGAUGAAAAGCACCUUGAAAAGGGGGUUAAACAGUACGUGAAAUUGUUGAAAGGGAAGCGCUUGUGACCAGACUUGCGCCGGGCGGUUCAUCCGGGGUUCUCCCCGGUGCACUCCGCCCGGCUCAGGCCAGCAUCGGUUCUCGUUGGGGGAUAAGAACGGCAGGAACGUGGCCCUCCUUCGGGUGGGUGUUAUAGCCUGCCGUACGAUACCCUGACGGGGACCGAGGUUCGCGCUCCGCAAGGAUGCUGGCGUAAUGGUCAUCAGCGACCCGUCUUGAAACACGGACCAAGGAGUCGUCCAUUAGAGCGAGCGUUUGGGUGUCAAACCCGCACGCGUAAUGAAAGUGAAAUUAGGUGAGAGCUUCGGCGCAUCAUCGACCGAUCCUGAUGUUCUCGGAUGGAUUUGAGUAAGAGUUUUAACGGACGGACCCGAAAGACAGUGAACUAUGCUUGUAUAGGGUGAAGCCAGAGGAAACUCUGGUGGAGGCUCGCAGCGGUUCUGACGUGCAAAUCGAUCGUCAAAUAUGAGCAUGGGGGCGAAAGACUAAUCGAACUGUCUAGUAGCUGGUUACCGCCGAAGUUUCCCUCAGGAUAGCAGUGUUGACCUUCAGUUUUAUGAGGUAAAGCGAAUGAUUAGGGACUCGGGGGCGCUUUUUAGCCUUCAUCCAUUCUCAAACUUUAAAUAUGUAAGAAGCCCUUGUUACUUAGUUGAACGUGGGCAUUCGAAUGUAUCAACACUAGUGGGCCAUUUUUGGUAAGCAGAACUGGCGAUGCGGGAUGAACCGAACGCGGGGUUAAGGCGCCAGAGUGUACGCUCAUCAGACACCACAAAAGGCGUUAGUACAUCUUGACAGCAGGACGGUGGCCAUGGAAGUCGGAAUCCGCUAAGGACUGUGUAACAACUCACCUGCCGAAUGUACUAGCCCUGAAAAUGGAUGGCGCUCAAGCGUACCGCCCAUACCCCGCCCUCAGGGUAGAAACGAUGCCCUGAGGAGUAGGCG